AGCGAACGCUGGCGGCAGGCUUAACACAUGCAAGUCGAGCGGGCACUUCGGUGUCAGCGGCAGACGGGUGAGUAACACGUGGGAACGUACCCUUCGGUUCGGAAUAACGCUGGGAAACUAGCGCUAAUACCGGAUACGCCCUUAUGGGGAAAGGUUUACUGCCGAAGGAUCGGCCCGCGUCUGAUUAGCUAGUUGGUGGGGUAAUGGCCUACCAAGGCGACGAUCAGUAGCUGGUCUGAGAGGAUGAUCAGCCACACUGGGACUGAGACACGGCCCAGACUCCUACGGGAGGCAGCAGUGGGGAAUAUUGGACAAUGGGCGCAAGCCUGAUCCAGCCAUGCCGCGUGAGUGAUGAAGGCCUUAGGGUUGUAAAGCUCUUUUGUCCGGGACGAUAAUGACGGUACCGGAAGAAUAAGCCCCGGCUAACUUCGUG
RNAcentral lists this ribosomal RNA (433 nucleotides) under uncultured bacterium. RNAcentral describes it as "partial 16S ribosomal RNA". It matches the Rfam family "Bacterial small subunit ribosomal RNA", at positions 29 to 507 of the family's 1533-position model. The record is from RNAcentral.